This 243-nucleotide ribosomal RNA is filed under the name Silene samia. The record is from RNAcentral. Lineage: Eukaryota; Viridiplantae; Streptophyta; Magnoliopsida; Caryophyllales; Caryophyllaceae.
UCGAAACCUGCCCAGCAGAGCGACCCGUGAACACGUUCAACMUCAUGGGUGUUGGGCCGUUGCUCGGCGCCUCGUGUGUCGGCUCGUCCCUCUCCCAAGCCGGGGGAGAGCUCACUUGUGGGCUGUUACYCGGCAAAACAACGAACCCCGGCGCGUAAUGCGUCAAGGAYUACAAACUUUAUGUGUGCACUCUCCCAUUGCCCGGUUAGCCGGGCGUCGGAGCGGUGCCAUGUCUUAACAAUA